This is a non-coding RNA of Trichonephila clavipes, 73 nucleotides long. NCBI's taxonomy places the organism in Eukaryota, Metazoa, Arthropoda, Arachnida, Araneae, Nephilidae. The record is from the annotation of a GenBank genome assembly.
GCCCCUAUAGCGCAAUGGAUAGCGCGUUGGACUUCUAAUCCAAAGAUCUUAAGUUCGAAUCUUAACCAGGAUA